GACAUUACUGUUCACAAUUUCAGGUUUGGCCCAAGGCAAAUCGGAAUGGAAUCGGCCUUGCUCAGGUCCUACAACAGCGGUACCAUGCUGCUCCUUAUGAAUCUCUUGUGGUGGCUGACAUUGGGGACGUCAAUGUGAACGUGUAUGACCUGAAAGACACAUGCAGACGUAUCAGGGAGACCUAAGAAAGGUGCUGGCCUCUGGCUGCAUCCCCUUGACAAUGGGUGGAGAUCACACAAUUUCUUAUCCGAUCCUACAAGCCGUUGCUGAGAAGUAAGUGUAACGUAGCAAUGAAGCCGCACUUAUCCACGUUGUUAACUUCCACAAAGAAAAUAUUUUCAACCCAAACGGUGGAUGAAUCAAAUGAAAGCAAUUUUUAUUGUGCAGUACAAUGAAACUUCUGAUGUUGGACAAUUCUAAGGUCAAACAAUUUGAAAUUGGGGAGUCACUCAAAGCACAAACCCUCUGUCACACAUGAUCUCAAAAUCUGUCGUAAUCCAUCUGUUUUGCUUUUUCUUUGGGUUUUCGUGCCACAUGUUCUGAAACCCUCAAUAAGGGGUAUUCACAGAAAAACGUGAGACUAAAAAGAAUACCCCGGAUAUAAGGAGACUCAUUCUUUUUAAGUUAAACCGCCAUCAUAUUGUACAAUGUUAUCACUUAGAAUUUAGAAUUUAACAGUUUUCCUUUUCAUGUUAAAAUGUACUUGCCAUAUUGUUACACCUCGGCACAAGAACUAAAAUGUGCUUGUGUUUUGUUAAUAUGAAUAAAGUUCUGUGAUGGCACCAAAAAAGGAAAAUAGUUCCCAUUCC
Molecule: long non-coding RNA, 809 nt
Organism: Hippocampus zosterae (dwarf seahorse)
Lineage: Eukaryota; Metazoa; Chordata; Actinopteri; Syngnathiformes; Syngnathidae
Exons: 2
Source: RefSeq, a predicted model, not a curated record